Mus musculus (house mouse) is the source of this 273-nucleotide long non-coding RNA. RefSeq annotates it as predicted gene, 36472. NCBI's taxonomy places the organism in Eukaryota, Metazoa, Chordata, Mammalia, Rodentia, Muridae. The transcript has 2 exons. The record is from RefSeq and is a predicted model, not a curated record.
GGCUGACUCUGGGAGCCAGUGAGAUCUCGAGCCUGGUCUUGCCUGGCUGCUGUAGGGAGGACUGCUGGUUCCUGCAGGUUUCUGAAGUGGCAGAGUCUGGGGCGCUCUGAGGGUGCUGUGUGGCUGCUGGACCAUUAUGGAAGGCCAUUCCUGUAACCGACCAUACUUUUUCUUCAGCUUUUCCUAAACCGUGUUCCCAGUGUAUUUACAAUUUUUUUUGUACUCUUUGAGCUAGUUUACAUUUGGCAUAUUUAAACUAAUCUUUUUAGGGGG